Paramuricea clavata is the source of this 780-nucleotide non-coding RNA. Lineage: Eukaryota; Metazoa; Cnidaria; Anthozoa; Malacalcyonacea; Plexauridae. The record is from the annotation of a GenBank genome assembly.
UUCUCGUUAAAUCUAUUUCUAGGUAGUAUGGUGUAAUAAUUGCAGCCUUACAAGACGCUUCAAUUAAUACAAAUAUUACUUUUAAUUAUAUGAUAUAAAUAUAAUCUCGCGCAUGUAGUAUUUCUGAGCUGCAAUUAAGGAAUUGGAUUUUGAAAAAAUUAUAUUCGAUAUCUAGCUUUGGCGCUUUAUGAACAUUUAUCAUGACAAUAUUUAAGCUCCGUUAAUAGUGUCAAUUAAAUUUCGAAACGAUAUACAUUCGGCAGCGCACUGUCAUCAGAACAAGCGCCUUUCACCUCCGAAGUUUGUGGGUUUGAUUCUCGCUACGGACUCAUGUGAAAAGAGUCAGUCAACGCUCUGCCGAAAGUCGUGGGUUUUCUCCGGGUGCUCUGGUUUCCUCCCACAGGGAAAGUUGACAUGAGGGUGGGUUAGGAUAAACACUGUUGAGAAAGUAAUAUCACAAUUGUUGUAAAGAUAAAAUAAUCUAGGCUAAGUAUGUAAUUAGGUAAGCGUGUAAUAUUGAAGUCAUGAUAAUAAAGCGCGUUUGAAAUUAGCCAUUCCGAAGUUGAUGACAGGACUGGGGACGAGUGUUAAAAAGUGCCCAAAUUAAGAAAUGAACCAAAUCACUAAAUAGACCACCUCAAAAUUAGUAAGUAUACAAAGUUUGAAGACGUUUACAUGAAUACUCUUCGAAUAAUAAGCCUUCGAAAUUGUGAAAUUACUGAUUAAAGAUUGUGUUUGGGACGCGCGUCCCAAAAACAAAAAUUACAAUACAUUUCAUAG